GUAUCACCUGGCUGCCUCUUCCUCUUUGGAGGAGCUGUGGGUUCUACCCAAUGAUUAUAAACCUUUAUGGCCACCUCUGACUUAUAAAGUUCAAGUUCAAACGUCAUUGGUCCUUGGGAACGCUUGGUAAAGUCUGCUCAGUUGCCAUAGAUACUUGGAGCAUAUCACAUCUUUCUGGGAACUCUUGUUACCUUGGAAAACAGGGAGGACAAGGGCUACAUACCCUGAUUUCACAUAUGGAAGGAAAAGAAGAAUCGUAGAUUCCCUGACAGAAUGCCAGAGAGACGGAAAACAAAAACAUCUAUGGCAGCUAGUAAGACUUUUUAAAUUUUUAUUUUUUAGAAGAAGGGAGAGUUGCUAGGGAGGAAUGGAUGUAGAUAACUACUAUGAUGAUACUAAAAAGAAAAAGUCAAGAAAGAUCAGAGCAUCAAUGAUUUAUUAAAAAACAACCAAAAGUUCAAGUCUGACUUUAGAUACUGCCUAGCUGUGUGACCCUGGGCAAGUCACUUAACCUAUUGCCUAGCCCUUGCUGCUCUUUAGCUUUAGAACCAAUACACAGUAUUGUUUCCAAGACAGAAGUUAAGGCUUAGAAAAACCCCCAAAACACCAGAAAUGAGAAGAAGCAAGUUCAGAAAGGGGCACAAAAAUAAACAAGGAGAGAGUUAGGACUACUAUGUUAAU
This 681-nucleotide long non-coding RNA is filed under the name Monodelphis domestica (gray short-tailed opossum). Its description in RNAcentral is "lncRNA (ENSMODG00000044866.1)". Lineage: Eukaryota; Metazoa; Chordata; Mammalia; Didelphimorphia; Didelphidae. The record is from RNAcentral.